This is a long non-coding RNA of Leptinotarsa decemlineata (Colorado potato beetle), 664 nucleotides long. RefSeq lists it as uncharacterized. NCBI's taxonomy places the organism in Eukaryota, Metazoa, Arthropoda, Insecta, Coleoptera, Chrysomelidae. The record is from RefSeq and is a predicted model, not a curated record.
CAGCUGCACAUUGACGUGAAAUAUAUGAUAUUUGCGAUCCUGAAUCAAGUAACGUUCUAAUCAAUUUUUGUUUGUCAUUAUUGACAAUUUUAACAACAACCGUUUGCAAUGAAGUUUCGUUCGAAAAAUUGUUAGUUAAAGUAUUUUCAACCUUAUUGUUUGGAUUUUUAUCAUCUUGAUCAGUGAUACCUUUCUUCACAUGCAAAUCAGGACAUAAAAUGGGUGACGACGCGUGUCACAGGGAAAGGAGGAGUGCGGUGGAAAUCAAGUACAAGUGGCUGAGAGAUAGAAAUGGUGCCUAAUCCUCGUUAAUCGAUUCAGAACGAUUUUUAAAUGUUUUUUUUUUAUAUAAAAUAAAUAAUAUUUGCGUAUUGAAGUUAAGAACCGCAGCUUCACAUCCAAAGAGCCGCAUGUGUUUCGCGAGCUGCAUGAUUUUCGCGAGCCGCAAGUUGCCGACCCCUGCCCUAGGAAAAAUAGAAGAACACGAUAAAUAAAGCUCAUCUUUACUUUGUGAUAUAUAUCAUAGUGUUUCUUUGUGACGCCACAUUGUCUGCUUUCCUUUUUAAUAUCUCAUUGAUGUCACUUUAAUUAGCCGGAGAUAUAUGUCUACUGUAGAAAACCGGUCCUAUAUUAUCGUCCUAGAGUUGAAUGAAUGAUUUUCACA